CGUUAUAACCGGCGAUUUCCGAAUGGGGAAACCCAGUGUGUUUCGACACACUAUCAUUAACUGAAUCCAUAGGUUAAUGAGGCGAACCGGGGGAACUGAAACAUCUAAGUACCCCGAGGAAAAGAAAUCAACCGAGAUUCCCCCAGUAGCGGCGAGCGAACGGGGAGGAGCCCAGAGCCUGAAUCAGUGUGUGUGUUAGUGGAAGCGUCUGGAAAGGCGCGCGAUACAGGGUGACAGCCCCGUACACAAAAAUGCACAUGCUGUGAGCUCGAUGAGUAGGGCGGGACACGUGGUAUCCUGUCUGAAUAUGGGGGGACCAUCCUCCAAGGCUAAAUACUCCUGACUGACCGAUAGUGAACCAGUACCGUGAGGGAAAGGCGAAAAGAACCCCGGCGAGGGGAGUGAAAAAGAACCUGAAACCGUGUACGUACAAGCAGUGGGAGCACGCUUAGGCGUGUGACUGCGUACCUUUUGUAUAAUGGGUCAGCGACUUAUAUUCUGUAGCAAGGUUAACCGAAUAGGGGAGCCGAAGGGAAACCGAGUCUUAACUGGGCGUUAAGUUGCAGGGUAUAGACCCGAAACCCGGUGAUCUAGCCAUGGGCAGGUUGAAGGUUGGGUAACACUAACUGGAGGACCGAACCGACUAAUGUUGAAAAAUUAGCGGAUGACUUGUGGCUGGGGGUGAAAGGCCAAUCAAACCGGGAGAUAGCUGGUUCUCCCCGAAAGCUAUUUAGGUAGCGCCUCGUGAAUUCAUCUCCGGGGGUAGAGCACUGUUUCGGCAAGGGGGUCAUCCCGACUUACCAACCCGAUGCAAACUGCGAAUACCGGAGAAUGUUAUCACGGGAGACACACGGCGGGUGCUAACGUCCGUCGUGAAGAGGGAAACAACCCAGACCGCCAGCUAAGGUCCCAAAGUCAUGGUUAAGUGGGAAACGAUGUGGGAAGGCCCAGACAGCCAGGAUGUUGGCUUAGAAGCAGCCAUCAUUUAAAGAAAGCGUAAUAGCUCACUGGUCGAGUCGGCCUGCGCGGAAGAUGUAACGGGGCUAAACCAUGCAC
Molecule: ribosomal RNA, 1056 nt
Filed under: Escherichia coli
Lineage: Bacteria; Pseudomonadati; Pseudomonadota; Gammaproteobacteria; Enterobacterales; Enterobacteriaceae
Description: partial 23S ribosomal RNA
Rfam family: Bacterial large subunit ribosomal RNA
Source: RNAcentral